This 252-nucleotide ribosomal RNA is filed under the name uncultured bacterium. RNAcentral's name for it is "partial 16S ribosomal RNA". It matches the Rfam family "Bacterial small subunit ribosomal RNA", at positions 524 to 776 of the family's 1533-position model. The record is from RNAcentral.
UACGUAGGGGGCUAGCGUUAUCCGGAAUUACUGGGCGUAAAGGGUGCGUAGGUGGUUUCUUAAGUCAGAGGUGAAAGGCUACGGCUCAACCGUAGUAAGCCUUUGAAACUGGGGAACUUGAGUGCAGGAGAGGAGAGUGGAAUUCCUAGUGUAGCGGUGAAAUGCGUAGAUAUUAGGAGGAACACCAGUUGCGAAGGCGGCUCUCUGGACUGUAACUGACACUGAGGCACGAAAGCGUGGGGAGCAGACAGG